Molecule: ribosomal RNA, 253 nt
Filed under: uncultured bacterium
Lineage: Bacteria
Description: partial 16S ribosomal RNA
Rfam family: Bacterial small subunit ribosomal RNA
Source: RNAcentral
UACGUAGGCAGCAAGCGUUGUUCGGAUUUACUGGGCGUAAAGGGUGCGUAGGCGGCCUUAUAAGUAUGGUGUGAAAUCUCCCGGCUUAACUGGGAGGGUGCGCUAUAGACUGUGGGGCUAGAGUGUGGGAGAGGAAAGUGGAAUUCCUGGUGUAGCGGUGAAAUGCGUAGAUAUCAGGAGGAACACCGGUGGUGUAAACGGCUUUCUGGACCAUAACUGACGCUGAGGCACGAAAGCGUGGGUAGCAAACAGG